GCUGGCUUACGGGUUAGAAAAAUCCGCUUAUCUUUGUAUAACAUGAUUUUUUGCUCAAUUUGGAUCUGUGUGACCAAUUUGAUUUUAACGAGAAAAAUGUUUUCAAUUUUUGCAGGUCAAUCUGUGGUGCGCUCUGUUUAAUAAAUGGAAGUUUUCCUCUCUUUUCUGUCAAAAAAACAAAAGAAAAACCGUGAUGCGGCGCAAUAGAUCCGCGCUUGGUCCCAAUUACAUGGGCCAGAAGCAAACAUAAACGUGUAGCCUUUUUGGGCUGAAGUGGAUAUGGCGAAUACUUCAUUUUUCUAGCACGGCCCA
This 312-nucleotide long non-coding RNA is filed under the name Brachypodium distachyon (stiff brome). Its description in RNAcentral is "long non-coding RNA (BDIS_LNC000423)". The record is from RNAcentral. Lineage: Eukaryota; Viridiplantae; Streptophyta; Magnoliopsida; Poales; Poaceae.